CACGUAGGGCGCAAGCGUUGUCCGGAAUUAUUGGGCGUAAAGAGCUCGUAGGCGGUCUGUUGCGUCCGCUGUGAAAACUCGGGGCUUAACCCCGAGCCUGCAGUGGAUACGGGCAGACUAGAGGUAGGUAGGGGAGAAUGGAAUUCCCGGUGUAGCGGUGAAAUGCGCAGAUAUCGGGAGGAACACCGGUGGCGAAGGCGGAUCUCUGGGCCUUACCUGACGCUCAGGUGCGAAAGCUAGGGGAGCGAACAGG
This 253-nucleotide ribosomal RNA is filed under the name uncultured bacterium. RNAcentral's name for it is "partial 16S ribosomal RNA". It matches the Rfam family "Bacterial small subunit ribosomal RNA", at positions 524 to 776 of the family's 1533-position model. The record is from RNAcentral.